RNAcentral lists this ribosomal RNA (753 nucleotides) under Escherichia coli. RNAcentral describes it as "partial 23S ribosomal RNA". It matches the Rfam family "Bacterial large subunit ribosomal RNA", at positions 112 to 908 of the family's 2925-position model. The record is from RNAcentral. Lineage: Bacteria; Pseudomonadati; Pseudomonadota; Gammaproteobacteria; Enterobacterales; Enterobacteriaceae.
UUCCGAAUGGGGAAACCCAGUGUGUUUCGACACACUAUCAUUAACUGAAUCCAUAGGUUAAUGAGGCGAACCGGGGGAACUGAAACAUCUAAGUACCCCGAGGAAAAGAAAUCAACCGAGAUUCCCCCAGUAGCGGCGAGCGAACGGGGAGCAGCCCAGAGCCUGAAUCAGUGUGUGUGUUAGUGGAAGCGUCUGGAAAGGCGCGCGAUACAGGGUGACAGCCCCGUACACAAAAAUGCACAUGCUGUGAGCUCGAUGAGUAGGGCGGGACACGUGGUAUCCUGUCUGAAUAUGGGGGGACCAUCCUCCAAGGCUAAAUACUCCUGACUGACCGAUAGUGAACCAGUACCGUGAGGGAAAGGCGAAAAGAACCCCGGCGAGGGGAGUGAAAAAGAACCUGAAACCGUGUACGUACAAGCAGUGGGAGCACGCUUAGGCGUGUGACUGCGUACCUUUUGUAUAAUGGGUCAGCGACUUAUAUUCUGUAGCAAGGUUAACCGAAUAGGGGAGCCGAAGGGAAACCGAGUCUUAACUGGGCGUUAAGUUGCAGGGUAUAGACCCGAAACCCGGUGAUCUAGCCAUGGGCAGGUUGAAGGUUGGGUAACACUAACUGGAGGACCGAACCGACUAAUGUUGAAAAAUUAGCGGAUGACUUGUGGCUGGGGGUGAAAGGCCAAUCAAACCGGGAGAUAGCUGGUUCUCCCCGAAAGCUAUUUAGGUAGCGCCUCGUGAAUUCAUCUCCGGGGGUAGAGC